GGCGAGAUGGCUCAGCAGGUAAGAGCACUGACUGCUCUUCAGAAGUUCCUGGGUUCAAAUCCCAGCAACCACA
RNAcentral lists this transfer RNA (73 nucleotides) under Mus musculus (house mouse). RNAcentral's name for it is "tRNA-Ser". The stretch from base 8 to 65 matches the Rfam family "tRNA", at positions 8 to 63 of the family's 71-position model. Rfam says of the family: Transfer RNA (tRNA) molecules are approximately 80 nucleotides in length. Their secondary structure includes four short double-helical elements and three loops (D, anti-codon, and T loops). The record is from RNAcentral. Lineage: Eukaryota; Metazoa; Chordata; Mammalia; Rodentia; Muridae.